CAAAAACAUAGUCAAAUGUUAUUAUAUUGGUGUUUCCUGCUCAAUGAUAUGAUUAAAUAGCCGCAGUACCCUGACUGUGCAAAGGUAGCAUAAUCAAUUGGCUUAUAAUUGAAGUCUAGAAUGAAAGGAUAUACGGGGAGUUACUGUAUCUAAUAUUUGUAACGAAAUUAGUUUUCAAGUGCAAAUACUUGUAAGUAAUUGUUAGACGAGGAGACCCUAGAAAUUUGCAGUAUUGUUUAGUUGGGGCAACGUAGUAGGAGUAACCUACAGUAAAAGACAAGAAAAUAAUUUGACAGAAAAAAUUACUCUAGGGAUAACAGCAUAAUUUAUAAAAGUUUGUGACCUCGAUGUUGGAUUUGGGAAUUAUAGUCCAGAAGAUUUUUAAUAUUGCUCUGUUCGAGCA
This 403-nucleotide ribosomal RNA is filed under the name Rhagada torulus. RNAcentral's name for it is "partial 16S ribosomal RNA". It matches the Rfam family "Archaeal large subunit ribosomal RNA", at positions 1900 to 2656 of the family's 2987-position model. Lineage: Eukaryota; Metazoa; Mollusca; Gastropoda; Stylommatophora; Camaenidae. The record is from RNAcentral.